This 482-nucleotide small RNA is filed under the name Drosophila erecta. RNAcentral's name for it is "GG26794". Lineage: Eukaryota; Metazoa; Arthropoda; Insecta; Diptera; Drosophilidae. The record is from RNAcentral.
AACCGAAUCCCAAUCCCAAUCCCAAUCCUCACAAGCUCCGAAGCACUAAGGCCCAGCUAUUCAGAUUGUUUCAAUUGUACUUCUAAGUUAGCCCGUAGUUAAGCGCAUCCCAGCGGCGGAUUCGAGCAAUAUUCGAUCCGGAACUGUUUCCUAUAUCAUGACCCGUAAUACCAUACCUUCACCUAUACCUACACCUAUACCUAUACCGUUAUCCAGCAGCAGCAAAUCGCAAGCGUCGCACACUCACUCUUCAAAGAUAGCCAUUUAAGCCGGAUGGAAACUGAGAUACAGAUUUAGAGCUAAUCCAGAUGGCGGUCCCAGUGGCCCCAAAACUGAACUUGAAUUCGAUACGUUUUCAUUCUAAUUUUGUGUGUGUGUACGUAUUUGUAAAUAGAGUUUAAGUAUGCAAAUCAUAGAGCUUACGUAUACAAUUAGAUUGCAAUAAAACCGAAUGAACAGUUAAGAAUUUGAAUCAUUACACA